This 70-nucleotide small nucleolar RNA is filed under the name Choloepus hoffmanni (Hoffmann's two-fingered sloth). RNAcentral describes it as "Small nucleolar RNA SNORD112 (ENSCHOG00000016032.1)". Lineage: Eukaryota; Metazoa; Chordata; Mammalia; Pilosa; Megalonychidae. The record is from RNAcentral.
UGUGCCAGUGAUGAAAGUGCCAUGAACUAUGGGUUAUGAUUAAUCUAAUUCUGUGUCCCCAAGAUUUAAA